UGCCCAAUGAUGACACCCAUCCUUGCUCCCCGUGCCCCUCAGGGGCUGUGGGCGACACCAUGGCUGCCCCAGGCUGGGCCGGUUGGGCUGCUGCCGGGGGCUGAGGGCA
This is a small nucleolar RNA of Pteropus vampyrus (large flying fox), 109 nucleotides long. Ensembl annotates it as small nucleolar RNA, C/D box 23. Its record names the gene SNORD23. The record is from Ensembl. Lineage: Eukaryota; Metazoa; Chordata; Mammalia; Chiroptera; Pteropodidae.